ACUGAAUUCUGAGCUAUCUGCCUCAAAGGGUAAUUUUAGAGGUAAGUCUCUAACUGGAGAACAGCUGCAAUGCCCCCCGUUCACAGCAUGUAAGAAAGAAAGGAGCUUUUGAUUCCGUACAGUGUUACUGCAUCCUUAAUAAAACUGUUAUGUAUUCAAUUGCUGAUGAGAAGAUUCUGUAGAAGAUGGACCAAUUUUCUACUUGUCUUGUUAUAGUGUCUGAGCAUUUCAAGAUUUCAAGAUUGUAAUGUGAUGGGUCACUUAUCACUUCUGAAAGCUGGUCAGAUCUACCACAAACUUCCAAAGAACGUUCUCUUACCAUGUCUGGAGCCAAUUAUUUUCUAAAUUAAUUUGGGGGUCCUUGUUACUGGGGAUUCCUUUAAAUAUAGAGAUCAGUAUAAACGAAUCAACUGAGAAAUCAUGGUACAUUUUUUCUCAUUCUGACAUUAUGAUGUAGCUGGACAGAAGAAGAAUACACACAGGUGGGAAAUUUAAUUUUUAACACUAAACAGCUAUAGGGUUGCAUGAUGUCGUCCUAGAGUGUCCCCCUUAAUUUUUUUACACUUAUUUCCACGGCUUUGCAGGCUGAUAGUUCGUUAUGGAGCAUUAAGCGGUUUAUUAGAUCAAGUUUCUCAUCCAAAUAGUCCUAGUUUUGUAUGCAACAGGUGUAAUUAGCUUUUGUAGGCUGAGUUUAGCCGCAGGAAGGAGCACUACAACAUGGCACUGAGAUGACCAUCAGAAGCUACCUACUGACUAAUUGGAUUACAUCCAAACAGCCAGAGUUUAUGGUGUAACUGGCAUAAAGUCCAAGUCUGAUGUGCUCCUCACUUGAUGUGUCUAAUACUUAUAGAAGUCAAUUGCUAAAAUGGUAUACAACGUAAUUUUUUGAACAAUAAUACCUCGUGCUAUAAGCUGCAUACGGUACAGGUGAGCUAUAUCUAAAAAAAUGUAAAUAUUCUUGUAGUAAAUAGGGGCUAUAGUACCAUUAAUGAUUCAAAGGACAAUUUGCCUUCCUUAUAACCACAUGCACCUCAGAUAAUGCACACAUUAGCAAGUAAUGCAAGCUGUCUGAAUCGUGGGUGGGUAACAGUCCUAAUCUGAUAUUCCAAAGUAGCUGUAUCUCUUGGGAAAACCAGGCUAUUAUCCACCAUCAUUCAUGUUUCUUGACAUCUGUGGAAAUUUUAACACAGGUUAGCCCUCCUUCUUUCUCAAUAAUAUUUUUUAUGCAACAUCUAAUUAAUUUUUUUGGAAGGGAUAGAAAGGUGCAGCCUCCUGCACAUCAGUUAGUUAUGCUGUAAAAUCACUGAACAUUGUGGUCUGCCGUAAAUUGUAUCCAUCAAAAAUGGGGCCUGUAUUAGAUAAACACAAACUGUGUAUUUAUUAUUUUAAUUAACUGAUAAAUCAUACUGUAUAUUCUUCAUUUUCAAUGCCACUUGCCACACACUAUGGGAAUCUUGAGAGAGAGUUUCUUGGAAUUGUUUCAUACAUAAUGUAUUAAAUUAUCUGAAUAUUCAUUUUAUUUGCAUAGUUUUUGGCUCAUUUGCCCGAAGAUGUGCUAGAGAACUUGAAAUGUUUUAAAGCACAAUCUACUACAUCGCAGACAGCCAUGGGCCUGAUCCUGUGUGGGGCUCCGUGCCUUUAACCUCACUGGCUUCACUGGGAAAGAUUCCUAAAUCAUUCCUUUCCUAAACACGGCUGCAGGGCCAGAUUCUCGGCUGGCAGAAACUGGCAUAGCUCCAUUGAUUACACU
Non-coding RNA from Chrysemys picta bellii (western painted turtle), 1750 nucleotides. Lineage: Eukaryota; Metazoa; Chordata; Testudines; Emydidae. The record is from RefSeq and is a predicted model, not a curated record.